GACGAACGCUGGCGGCGUGCUUAACACAUGCAAGUCGAACGAGAAGAGAUGAGAAGCUUGCUUCUUAUUGAUUCGAGUGGCAAACGGGUGAGUAACGCGUAAGCAACCUGCCCUUCAGAGGGGGACAACAGUUGGAAACGACUGCUAAUACCGCAUGACAUAUUGAGAUCGCAUGGUUUUAAUAUUAAAGAUUUAUCGCUGAAAGAUGGGCUCACGUCUGAUUAGUUAGUUGGUGAGGUAACGGCUCACCAAGACUGCGAUCAGUAGCCGGACUGAGAGGUUGAACGGCCACAUUGGGACUGAGAUACGGCCCAGACUCCUACGGGAGGCAGCAGUGGGGAAUAUUGGGGCAAUGGGCGAAAGCCUGACCCAGCAACGCCGCGUGAAGGAGAAGGUUUUCGGAUUGAAACUUCUUUAUCAGGGACGAAGAAAGUGACGGUACCUGAUGAUAAGCACGGCUAACGUACGUG
Molecule: ribosomal RNA, 470 nt
Filed under: uncultured bacterium
Lineage: Bacteria
Description: bacterial SSU rRNA
Rfam family: Bacterial small subunit ribosomal RNA
Source: RNAcentral